RNAcentral lists this long non-coding RNA (221 nucleotides) under Lathyrus oleraceus (garden pea). RNAcentral's name for it is "Pisum sativum (pea) long non-coding RNA (PSAT_LNC028665)". Lineage: Eukaryota; Viridiplantae; Streptophyta; Magnoliopsida; Fabales; Fabaceae. The record is from RNAcentral.
UUGAUCUUUGGAGAGAACCGUAACGAAACUUAGAAUCAAACCAUAAUUCUUCCAGAAUCCUUCUAGAGAAUCGUGAUCCAUUAACUUCAUCAGCUGUUGAAUGAGCUCCAAACACACCACAGGAAACUUGUAGGUGACGUGUCUCUUUCUGCCAAUAUCCAUCUUAAGAGAACCAGAAAACCCCGACCGGAAUCAAGAGGAAGAUAUAAACCCCUAGUAAU